AAUAUUGGACAAUGGGGGGAACCCUGAUCCAGCCAGGCCGCGAGAGUUAAGAAGGCCAUCGGGAUGUAAAGUACUUCUUGCAGAGAAGAAAAGGUAGCUCCUAAUACGAGAUACUGCUGACGGUAGCGGCAGAUGAAGCACCGGCUAACUACGUGCCAGCAGCCGCGGUAAUACGUAGGGUGCAAGCGUUAAUCGGAAUUACUGGCGGUAAAGCGUGUGUAGGCGGUUCGGAAAGAAAGAUGUGAAAUCCCAGGGCUCAACCUUGGAACUGCAUUUUUAACUGCCGAGCUAGAGUAUGUCAGAGGGGGGUAGAAUUCCACGUGUAGCAGUGAAAUGCGUAGAUAUGUGGAGGAAUACCGAUGGCGAAGGCAGCCCCCUGGGAUAAUACUGACGCUCAGACACGAAAGCGUGGGGAGCAAACAGG
Molecule: ribosomal RNA, 424 nt
Filed under: uncultured bacterium
Lineage: Bacteria
Description: partial 16S ribosomal RNA
Rfam family: Bacterial small subunit ribosomal RNA
Source: RNAcentral